Mesocricetus auratus (golden hamster) is the source of this 4815-nucleotide long non-coding RNA. RefSeq lists it as uncharacterized. The transcript is spliced from 2 exons. The record is from RefSeq and is a predicted model, not a curated record. NCBI's taxonomy places the organism in Eukaryota, Metazoa, Chordata, Mammalia, Rodentia, Cricetidae.
CAACCAGGCUAAGCUGUAAAAAGUCUCAGUGUCAAAAGGACAGCGCCAGCCUGGCCGGUGCUGGGCCCAUCAGGGUGGCUGCUCUCCCCUGAGGAGCAACAGUAGGUGUAGCCGUGGGAGAGCGGUUACCUAGUUUGGAAGCUGUUGAGGGGGAGGCGGGGGUGUGGUGGCACUGAGUCAGCUGGCUUCAGUCGUCCCCCCCCCAUCCCCAGAACAUCUUGCCUAGCUCCUCUGAAUAAUGAACAGCGUUUUACUAAUCAUCAAUUAAAGAUGAGGAGUAGCGAGAACGGCGACUGUCUCUAGGCAGCUAAAUCCAACCUGCACCCGAGGUACCAAAAGUCCAUGUUCGCCUGACGUUGAGCCAACGGGGCAAGCCGACAGCACACAACGCUUUUGCUGAGAUCCGUUCGUUCAAAAUUAGUGAGAAGGAACGCGGAUCUUAAACGCCGUCCCUCGAAGCACGAGGAACGAAGGAAGCGAGGGCGGGAUGGAGAGGGCAGGGUCUCGGUGUGCUGCGGACUAGAAGACGCGGGCGCUCCUGUACCCCCAGGCCGAGUCUCUGGUAACGGAGGAUGGGCCUCUGGCGUCGGUGCCUAUGGAAAAGGUACCAACGAGAAUUGGCCUCACCCACCCCGCUGGGUAUUUUUCCCCCUCUCAGUUACCCGUCUCAGCCCAGCCAGGUCUCGGUCUCCUGCGGAUGUCAACCGUGGAUACCAAGAAUACACUUUUCAGAGUGCUCUCUUAUUAGACGGGGUUUUCUCCCUCUCCCUUUAAUUAAAGGGACUUAGGGGGAAGGAAAACAAAACGAAACAAAACAAAAUGUAAGAGCUGUGUCCCUUAGAGGAACAGUAACCAGCUGCUUGUCUGAUUUCUGAGUGGGGAAAAUAAAUAAAUAAAAAGGAGAGGAAAGAUGACUGCUCCUAGAUAUAGUGGAGGAGGAUUUUUUUUAUUAUUGUAGAUAAAAUACUGUAGGGCAGAGGCAGGGACGUCAGAAUGGUCAUGCCCUGAGCCGGGUGGGAAGACGGGGAGGGGAAGCAGGGGCAGCAGCCACCAGGCCCAAGGAUACAGAGAGAGUGGGCAACCAGAAUGGUUGGAUGAGAUAAGGACUUGCAGCCCAGCUGCCCGGGCUAGAGAGCUCGGGGUAGAGAGCAGCUAUGCCAGCCAGGAGGGCGCUGUAACGGGUAGGGCCAGAGGGAUGGCAGGAGAACCUGGCAGCCAGGUUCGCUUUGAUGUUGUUAAAUAGGCAUGGUAGCUGUCAGCCAGGGGUCUGAAGCCUAACGAUUUCCAUAACGGGAGGCAAGAACUAUCCCAAGAGCAUCGAAUGGCAGUCCUGCUCAUAGGAAGUAAGGCACCUGCUGCAGAGAGGUCCUAUAUGGAACGUUCCAGUAGUUCUCACACCUAGGAGGCUGCAGCAGGAGGAUUGGCAAACCCAGGUCUUGCCUGGGCUACAUGCGGAGAAGCACAAUACUGUCACAACCAUGUAUGAUAAGGGAAGCAGAACAGAAGAGGCCCGGGGAAAGGAAAACAAUCUCCCAUCCCAGAGCUAGAGGAAGCCUCUCCCCAGCUGCAGGCAGGAAUCCCAGCACACAGAACUUGCUGUAAACUAGAGGUUGCAGAUACAGACAUGAUGUUUCUCUCAUGGAUAUAGCUACGACCCGGGCUUAAGACCCAAGUGUGUUUGAUCUCUGUUUGGGUCUCAUUCAUCCCCUCCCCCCCAGACAGCUGGGAAUCUCAAAGAAGACACAUAACGCUUGUUUGCAGUAAAGGUAUCCUACCUUGGGCCUGCAGAGGUGGCCCGGCGGUUAGGAGCACUUGCUGCUCUUACAGAGGACCCAUUCCAGGGGGCCUAAUGCCCUCUUCUGAUCCCCGAGGGCACCAGGUAUUCACGAGGUGCACAUACUUGCAGGCAAACACACAUAACAAAACGUAAGCAAGGGGCUAAGCAGUUAAGGGCUUGGGCUGUCCCUCUGGAAGACCUCCCUUAGAUUCCCAGUACUGGUCCUGGCAACUCCUGUCCCCGGAGCUCUGAUGCCCUCUUCUGGCCUCAGAGGGAGAUGCAUGCGUAUGGUGCAGAGCCAUAUAGGCCUAGCUUAACAUAAAUCUUUAAAAAUUUUUAAAGGGUACUAACUUGGGUGAUAGCCACAGAGGUGAAGAAAACUCAGCACGACCUGGGAAAUCUAGGUGCUCUAUGAACCUGGAGUCAGUGGGGGUGCCUGUACAGGAUACGCAGGAGGAAGCGAUGGGGCCUCUAGGUCUCUGACUUGAGCCGUCAGGCCCGUGGGAUACACCAAAAGAAAAGCGGGCUGCCGGGCGUUGGUGGCGCACGCCUUUAAUCCCAGCACUCGGGAGGCAGAGGCAGGCGGAUCUCUGUGAGUUUGAGGCCGGGCUGGACCGACAGCCUCCAAAACAAUACAGAGAAACCCUGUCUCGUAAAAACAAAUAAAUAAAUAAAUAAAUAAAAAAGAAAAGCAGGCCUGGGGCUUGUGGCAACGUGAAGGGGGUUUUCUCGUGGGCAGAGGUGGUUCUGUCCAGGGUCGACGCAGGUACCAGUCAACGCCGACCUGCAGCUGUCUGAUGGGCCACUGUGUAGCUGGCCAGUUGCCGCUUGCGGGACGUUCUCCACAGGCCGUUGGGAGUGCCUCAGGACAUAAGCACUGCACUCUGGGGCUUCUGAGGCGUCUAAGAGAGGGAGGGCAAGGAAGAGAAGAGCCAGCCGUAUCCUGCGCUAGGCGUGCAGACAGGAAACGGUGGCCUUCUCCCUUUUCCAAGUUCACCCGGUCUGGACCUGGGCCUGGGGGAUGGGACCGCACACCUUCAGGGCAGAUCUUCACACCCAGUUAACCCUUUCUCCAAGACAGACACGCCCGCCCGGGCAUCAUCAACCGCCUCCAUGCACCCACGCCCUGCUUCUUUCUUCCUGUCCUUGCAGAGAGCGUGCCUCUCUGCACAUCCUCCCGCCACGAUGACCUUCCCCCUCCGAGGACUGUAGAAGCCGCAGAGCCAGGAGCCAAAACAAACACAUCCCUCCCUUAAGGUGUCCUUGCGGGUACUGUAGCCCCAGCGGUGGAAAGCUGACUCAUACAAUAUCACACCGUCGGGCUCAUGAGGCUACGGCACAGGAUGGUCCGGUGUCAGCCUUCAGCUGGAUCGUUCACCCAGGGGAGGAUUUUAUUAUAGAGACUGCCUCGGCAGCCUAUGGAGAGAGCCCCGAGAGUAGCAGCCGGCCUCUGGCCAGCCGCCUGCCAGCCAUGGAGUGAGCUGUGGUGUUAGCACAUCUGACAGCUUAGGUCAGCUUUGGCGGACAUCAGGAUCCAUCCCGGGCUGAUCCAUCUCUGCCCAUUGCUCAGACAUCGGAACUCUGAGGACAGCAGAUGCAUGCUGCCGCCGCCGCCGUAAGGGGAGUAGGCUUGGGGGAGUGUUACACAGUGACAGUACUAAUCACCCACCUGGAUAUGUCAUGAUGUAGGUAUUCCCCCUGGGCUAGACAGCUAGGUUGUUUCCGAUGUGUGUGUGCCUGGUGCCCCAGGAGGUCUGAACAGGAGGUCCUUGGAUCCUCUGGAACUAGAGUUACAGACAGUUCUGAGCCACCACGUGGGUGCUGGGAAUCAAACCCAGGUCUCUGCAAGGGCGGCAGGGGCUCUUCACCACCUCGCCACCUCUCCGGCCUCUGCCUUUUUGCUGUUUUUGAGACAGGGUCUCGGUAGCUCAUGCUGGCCUGGGACUGUCUCUGUAGACCAGAGUAGACUCCAAGACCUACCUGCCUUUGCUUUUCCAGCGCUAGGUUUAAAGACUUGUACCACCAUACUGUUUCUGGUUUUAUGGAAUUUUAAGCAGUGCUGCAAAAAUAUUCUUAGACAUAUAAAAUCCUUUAGGAAAUGUUUCUAGAAAUAGAACAGAAAGAACCCAUGUUCUCAUUUGUGAUAUAAGUUGGCAAACUACCCUCCAAAAGGACGAACGCUUCCAUUGCUGUAAUUUGUAUUACCAGUUUGUAUUACAGCUCAGGUUUCUCUGUACCUCAGCCAACAGUGGACAUAUUUAAUCUUUGCCAGUGUUAAAUGGGAAAUAAUAUGUUAUUAUCUCAUGGGAUCUUGAGGGGUGGGGGAUGGCCUGUUGGGGAUAGCGCAUAAGACUUUGCACAUGCUGGCAAAUACUCUACCAUGUAUUUAUAGCCUAACACCCCCAGUGUCUUCUUUUUGCAGCAGGACCUUCAGCAGGACCUUGAAUCUGGUUUAUAGCCCAGGAUAGCCUUGAACUCAUCAUGUAGUCCAGGCAGGCUGUGAACUCUGGAUCAUUCUACUCAUUCUUCUAAGCCCUGGGGUUAUAGGCAUGUGCCACCACGGCCCUGUAUAUUUUAUUAGGCAAAGGUGAUGAUAUCAGGGGUUUUAAUUAUUUAUUUAUUUAUUUUUACUAUGAUCAAUCUUUUUAUACUCUUUGUCCUGCUCAAAGUGUUUAAUGCCUAGAAAUUAUCAUUUGUUUGCUGUGAAUGUUUGUCAUAUAUAUCACAGAUAGCUUCCCAUUAUUAUCCAUUGUGUGUCUUUUGCUGUUUAGGCAUCCCCUGGGUUUAUAUGAUUAAACCUGUUAUUUGUUUAUUUAUAUGCGCAUUGAUGUUUUGCCUGCAUGUAUAUCUGUGCAUGUGUGUUGGGAUUCCCUGGAGCUGGAGUUACAGGCAGUUGUGAGGUUCCAUGCGGGUUCUAGGAAUUGAACUCAGGUCCUCUGGAAGAGCAGCCAGUGCUCUUAAUGGCUGAGCCAACUCUCCAGCUAUCAUAAAUCUGUUACUCUUUUAGCUCAAAAUAUAUACACGUUCUCUCAUUCCAA